AUCAAAUUGGCAUUUACUAUGUGGUCCCUAAAGACUUUCUGUUUGUAUCAAAUGGAAGACUGACUUGGUCCUCAGCCUCAGGGCUAAAUUGGUCUACAGGUUGAACUCCCAAGUUGUCUCAUUACAUGAUUAAUGAUAUCCAUAGUAAGAGUGAUGCACAGUGAAGUUUCUGGUGCUUCUACAUAAAUAGAUUCAAUGUUUAAAGUUAUCAAUUAUAGGAGACAGAAUACUCUUAUGCAAUGAGGAAAUCACUUUUCCUGGUGGGCUUUUAAUAACAUUGAAUUUAUCAAGGGUUGACACUUUUACUGUUAUUUCCUUUAAGCUAUUAAAAAAACCCCUGUUUAUCCACAAUAGCCAGGAUAUUUUUUAAGAAGAAAAGGAUAAGGUGGUGAUAUGAAAAAACCACUAGAUAGGUAGUUCCCAGAGUAUAUCACAUUCCUUUAAUGAAUCUUUUUACAUAUAGCAUCAAGGAUGUAAGGACUUCAAAUGCCAAGGUGACCCUCAUGAUAAAACUCUGCACUUGAAGUUGGAAGACAGACUGAAAAGUCAUGGACAGUCCUC
Molecule: long non-coding RNA, 561 nt
Filed under: Bos taurus (domestic cattle)
Lineage: Eukaryota; Metazoa; Chordata; Mammalia; Artiodactyla; Bovidae
Description: long non-coding RNA NONBTAT026872
Source: RNAcentral